AGACAUGAGGGGACUUGGCUGUGAUGUCUGUCCCCACAUUGAUGGUGUGGGUGUUCUCAGCUGACCUUAGCCAGGGGUUCCCCUCCUCUCUCUCUGCUGAGAAUCCUUCUGGAAGCUGUGUUCUCCUCUAAGAGGGUGACAUUCCCAGAGAAAGGGAGGUAGUCUUUCAGGGCU
This 174-nucleotide small nuclear RNA is filed under the name Macaca nemestrina (pig-tailed macaque). RNAcentral describes it as "7SK RNA". It matches the Rfam family "7SK RNA", at positions 1 to 191 of the family's 331-position model. From Rfam's summary of the family: 7SK was discovered as an abundant small nuclear RNA in the mid-70s but a possible function has only recently been suggested. Two independent studies have found that 7SK RNA binds the CDK9/cyclin T complex (known as elongation factor P-TEFb). The record is from Rfam by way of RNAcentral. Lineage: Eukaryota; Metazoa; Chordata; Mammalia; Primates; Cercopithecidae. RNAcentral also lists the same sequence under 1 other name.